UUGCUUUGGCAGCAGAUGUAUUAAAAUUGGAAACAUAAAAAGAAGAGUAGCAUAGAUGAUGUGUGAGAAUGACAUGAAAAUUCAUGAAGUAGUCCAUAUUUUU
Molecule: small nuclear RNA, 103 nt
Filed under: Balaenoptera musculus (blue whale)
Lineage: Eukaryota; Metazoa; Chordata; Mammalia; Artiodactyla; Balaenopteridae
Source: RNAcentral